UUGCUUCGGCAGCAUAUAUACUAAAAUUGAAACGAUAGAGAGAAGAUUAGAGUGGCCCCUGCCCAUGGAUGAUACGCAAAUUCACAAAGCAUUCCACUUUUUU
This is a small nuclear RNA of Octopus sinensis (East Asian common octopus), 103 nucleotides long. NCBI's taxonomy places the organism in Eukaryota, Metazoa, Mollusca, Cephalopoda, Octopoda, Octopodidae. The record is from RefSeq and is a predicted model, not a curated record.